UACGUAGGGUGCAAGCGUUAAUCGGAAUUACUGGGCGUAAAGCGUGCGCAGGCGGUUUUGUAAGUCUGACGUGAAAUCCCCGGGCUUAACCUGGGAAUUGCGUUGGAGACUGCAAGGCUGGAGUCUGGCAGAGGGGGAUAGAAUUCCACGUGUAGCAGUGAAAUGCGUAGAGAUGUGGAGGAACACCGACGGCGAAGGCAGCCCCCUGGGUCAAGACUGACGCUCAUGCACGAAAGCGUGGGGAGCAAAC
Molecule: ribosomal RNA, 250 nt
Filed under: uncultured bacterium
Lineage: Bacteria
Also listed under: 1 other name
Description: partial 16S ribosomal RNA
Rfam family: Bacterial small subunit ribosomal RNA
Source: RNAcentral